GAAAUGCGAUAAGUAAUGUGAAUUGCAGAAUUCAGUGAAUCAUCGAAUCUUUGAACGCACAUUGCGCCCCUUGGUAUUCCGGGGGGCAUGCCUGUUCGAGCGUCAUUACAACCCUCAAGCUCUGCUUGGUCUUGGGCGUCACCGGUCCCCGGUGUGCCUUAAAAUCAGUGGCGGCGCCAUCUGGCUCUAAGCGUAGUACAUACUCUCGCUACAGACGUCCGGUGGAUGCUGGCCAGCAACCCCCAAUUUAUCAAGGUUGACCUCGGAUCAGGUAGGGAUACCCGCUGAACUUAA
This 294-nucleotide unclassified non-coding RNA is filed under the name uncultured Pezicula. RNAcentral describes it as "sequence contains ITS1". The stretch from base 1 to 105 matches the Rfam family "5.8S ribosomal RNA", at positions 50 to 154 of the family's 154-position model. The record is from RNAcentral. Lineage: Eukaryota; Fungi; Ascomycota; Leotiomycetes; Helotiales; Dermateaceae.